UGCACGCACAGUCUGAGGGUCAGAUCCCUCUACAAGACAGGUUUGGCACAUGUUUACUGCUCUAUGCAUUCCUCACAGCCUCCCAGUGCACUGCAAGCUCUGCCUGUGUGACCCCUCCCGCUGUGCUGAGCUCAUGGUCUUUGUUUCAGAACACCUCAACAAUAAAAUCUUGUCUCGGAAACGACAGUCUUGUCAGGAAACAACAGUGGAGCUGAUGGUGGUCACCCUGCUUGUUCACAAAGGUCUGACUAUGUGCCAUUUAUUUCUGACCUACUAAAGAACGCUGAGACCUCUGACAUGCCCACCAGACACAACACAUUCUGAGAACAUGGACGAACACAAUCAGGAAUAGCUUUUUCUAUUUAAUUGUCUUACACAUUUAGUUUACCUACUGGUGAUUUUGUAAACAUAUACUUUAAUGUCAAGAUUCAAAUUGAAACAUAAACAUUCUUUUCUUACAAAGAUUGUGGACUUAUUCUAUUUUCAAGGUGCCACAUCAGCCCCCCACCAGCCGUCCUGCCCCCUUCCCACAGCACAGGAGUCACAUCUGUUCACAGAAUAAAAGCUAAAGAAGCCCUGGCUUACCCAAAAUUACAUUUUCACUUUGCCCACUGGCUAAGAAAACAAAAAACCAAAACUGCACCUGCAUUCAGGGCUGUACGUGCAAAUGUAUCAUAACAGGAAAGGAACGAGCCAGUGGGCUUUCUUCCUAUCUAGCACAUCACCAGCAGACACCACCCACAGGAGCACAGGCUCGGCAACCCCCUGGCCCAGAGCCAGCUCCUCCCCACCCCAUCCUCGUGUUCUGCGCAGGGGACAUAGCAAAGAGAACCUCCCAGAACUGCCCUGGCAGGGCUGCGUGUGUCGUGGCGCACACCUUCCCUCCUCUGCGCCGCUUAGCAGUGCAUCCACACUGCAGUCAGCAGAGCGUGGGGUCACUCUAUGUAUGGGGUAAGGUCUGCAAAUAGCAAAGGGGCAUAAAAGAGAACG
Molecule: long non-coding RNA, 990 nt
Filed under: Rattus norvegicus (Norway rat)
Lineage: Eukaryota; Metazoa; Chordata; Mammalia; Rodentia; Muridae
Description: long non-coding RNA NONRATT009987
Source: RNAcentral